RNAcentral lists this long non-coding RNA (309 nucleotides) under Helianthus annuus (common sunflower). Its description in RNAcentral is "sRNA HanXRQr2_Chr15g0675511". The record is from RNAcentral. Lineage: Eukaryota; Viridiplantae; Streptophyta; Magnoliopsida; Asterales; Asteraceae.
AUGACACAAGCACGAGUGAUGGUGACUUUGGCAGUGGUGGGGGGCAGGGUACUGAGAAAGUCUUGGUUCAUAACCUUUAGGCAUGUCUGACUCCAAUGGUUCAUUGAAGCUGGAUUGCAUUUUUUAACAUGAAGGAUCUGAAUUUUCUUUUGUAGAUUCAACUAUAUGAACAAUAUCAAUAUAAAGUGUCUUCCCAAUUAUUGAAUUUUAGUUGUCUGGUUCUGUAACUUCAUUUGUCUUCUUCAGAUCAACAAGUAAGUCCUUUAUGCUUUUAACCUUUUUCUUUGAAACUGAGUCGCUUUGUUUCGA